Sciurus carolinensis (gray squirrel) is the source of this 9389-nucleotide RNA transcript. It is a transcript of the gene named TGF-beta activated kinase 1 (MAP3K7) binding protein 1, with no coding region annotated. NCBI's taxonomy places the organism in Eukaryota, Metazoa, Chordata, Mammalia, Rodentia, Sciuridae. The record is from RefSeq and is a predicted model, not a curated record. The transcript has 12 exons.
CCUACUCGCUGCUCCGCCCAGAGGCGGGCGCGCCGCGGGGGUCCCUCCAAGAUGGCGACGCAGAGGAGGAGCCUGCUGCAGAGUGAGCAGCAGCCGAGUUGGACAGACGACCUGCCGCUCUGCCACCUCUCUGGGGUCGGGUCGGCCGCCAACCGUGUCUACUCUGCUGAUGGCAAGGGCACCGAGGCCCACCCUCCCGAGGACAGCUGGCUCAAGUUCAGGAGCGACAACAACUGCUUCCUGUAUGGGGUCUUCAACGGCUACGAUGGCAACCGGGUGACCAGCUUUGUUGCCCAGCGGCUGUCCGCAGAACUCCUGCUUGGCCAGCUCAACGCGGAACACACCGAGACUGACGUGCGGCGUGUGCUGCUUCAGGCCUUCGAUGUGGUGGAGAGGAGCUUCCUGGAGUCCAUUGACGACGCCCUGGCUGAGAAGGCCAGCCUCCAGUCCCAGCUGCCAGAGGGUGUCCCUCAGCACCAGCUGCCUCCUCAGUAUCAGAAGAUCCUUGAGAGGCUCAAGGUGCUGGAGAGGGAGACCUCGGGCGGGGCCAUGGCCGUGGUGGCUGUCCUUCUCAACACCAAACUCUACGUCGCCAAUGUAGGCACGAACCGGGCACUUCUGUGCAAAUCUACAGUGGACGGGUUGCAGGUGACCCAGCUAAACGUGGACCACACGACAGAGAACGAGGAUGAGCUCUUCCGCCUCUCACAGCUGGGUUUGGACGCAGGAAAGAUCAAGCAAGUGGGGAUCAUCUGUGGGCAGGAGAGUACCAGGCGCAUCGGGGAUUAUAAGGUCAAGUACGGCUACACUGACAUUGACCUGCUCAGUGCUGCCAAAUCCAAACCAAUCAUCGCAGAGCCAGAAGUCCAUGGUGCACAGCCUCUGGACGGGGUGACCGGCUUCCUGGUAUUGAUGUCUGAGGGGCUGUACAAGGCCCUGGAGGCCGCCCAUGGGCCUGGGCAGGCUAACCAGGAGAUUGCUGCCAUGAUUGACACUGAGUUUGCCAAGCAGACUUCGUUGGAUGCGGUGGCCCAGGCUGUGGUGGACCGGGUGAAGCGCAUCCAUGGUGACACCUUUGCCAGUGGUGGGGAGCGCGCCAAGUUCUGCCCACGGCAUGAGGACAUGACCCUGCUGGUGAGGAACUUCGGCUACCCGCUGGGUGAAAUGAGCCAACCCACACCAGCCCAGGCACCAGCUGCUGGGGGCCGCGUGUACCCCGUGUCCGUGCCCUACUCCAGUGCCCAGAGCACCAGCAAGACUAGCGUGACCCUCUCCCUUGUCAUGCCCUCCCAGGGCCAGAUGGUCAAUGGGGCCCACAGCGCUUCUACCCUGGACGAAGCCACCCCCACCCUCACCAACCAGAGCCCCACCCUGACGCUGCAGUCCACCAACACGCACACCCAGAGCAGCAGCUCCAGCUCCGACGGCGGCCUCUUCCGCUCUCGGCCUGCGCACUCGCUCCCGCCCGGCGAGGACGGCCGCGUGGAGCCCUACGUGGACUUCGCGGAGUUCUAUCGUCUCUGGAGUGUGGACCACGGUGAGCAGAGCGUGCUGGCUGCGCCCUAGCCUGACCGGCGAGCACACUGUGGAGCUGGUGGGGCAGGCGCAGCCCCGGUGCAGCCUCCUGACUCCUGUGGAGGAGCGGGGCGCCGUCCUCAGCCUGCAAGUCGGCCCCUGGCUGUGGAGGUGCAAGUGCCGGCUGCAGGGCCUGCCCACGCCUUGUCACCGCCAGGAGGCUGGAGGCCACUCCUCACUGCAGCCUCGGCCAGCCAGGACUGUCACUAUUCCUCGGAGCGAGGACCCCAGGAUGGAAGCUGCAGCUGGCCUGCUGGCUGCUGAGGUUCCUUCGGCCCAUGCAGCAGCGUGGGAAGAGGCUGUCCUCUGGACCCUGAGGGCCACCACCUCCUGUACAAUAGCCUGUGGCCACUGCUAAUGCCCCUUCACUCUGGGCAGUGGUUCCCCGCUCCAGCCCCUCAGCCUCAUGCUCCCCAGCCAGGGACAGGUCAGGUGGAAAGGGCCAGAGAGAAGCCCCAGAGCCGCUGAGGGAAGUGGACUGGGCAUCUGGGCUUUCCCGAGAGGUGCAGGGGAGGAGAGGCUGGGCCCUGCGGAGCUGUGAGGAGGCAGGGAGGCCCAAGUCCGGCUGAGCCGGUCCUGCCCUGCAUCCUCCCUGCUGGUGCUAGGGAGGCCACAUUUGGAGUGGCCUUACCCUGGUGACAAGUGUGGGGUAGCUCUGGUUAACAAACCGGGCAUGGGUCAGGCCAAGGGCUUGGCCAACAGUGAAAAGAGCAAACAUUGGUUCCAAGAGGGAGGGGUUCUCCAAGGCCUCGCUGCCCUGGGGUUGACGUCUACAGGGUGUGCACCAUGUUGAUGAGCCUGAGGAGGAAGGACUGGCCGGCCAGGCUCUGGACUGCUGCAUGUCCACGGGUCUGCCUCCUCUGGGAGGGACACCCCCAGGCCUCCAGGCAGGGUCCCAUUCCCUUUCCCAGAGGGAGCGGAGAGGCUUGCUCCUGGCCCGUGUCACACCUGCAGUGGCAGAGCUGCUCAGACCUGUGCUGCAACCCAUGACGUCCCGGCCGCAGCUGGCCAGGGACCGCCCCCACCGGCCAGCCCCCAGUGUCCUUGCUCUCUGCAGUGCUGGAGGCCGGCUCCAGAGUCCCCUGCUCACUCCGUGAUCCCGCAGUCCACUUCUGCAGCAGAGCUGAGCCCCGUGCUAUGCCAGGGACAGGCCACUGCUUGAGCCGAGGAGAAAGGGGACCUCAGCAGCCAGCCCACUGCCCGCCACUGUGCAGCCUUCCAUCUGUCCUCGGGAGCAGGUUUAAACAGUCAUGGGGCUCUGGAACAAAGGGACUUCUCCCAGAAUGUCUCCAAUGCUGUUUGGUCUCUAGAAAUAGAGUCCUGGUUUUAAUGACGUGAAGUGAAGUCGUACACGGUGGCAUCACACGGUGCAUUGUUAGUGCUGGCACUUCUGUCCCACCCAACUCUCACCCUGGGAGGUGGCUGCCUCCUCAUGUCCUGCGCGACGUGCUGCAAAGCAAGCUAGCCAGGCUGGUGCGUGGCCAGGCUGGGUUGAGCCAGCUCCCGGCUGUAUGCAGGCCCACCCGGCCCAGAGGGCAAGGUGCCCGUGCCGGGCCGUCAGGCUGCACCGCUGCAGGGCCGUGCCAGGUGCUGCAGGGCUGCUGUGCUGGCCUCACUUCCUGAGCCUGUGGGUGGUGCUGAGACUGCCCAGGGCCCUCUCUGGCUCGGUGGCUUUCUGGGGCUUUGUUCGGGUGAAGGCUGUUCUGUGAACACCAGGCCCUGGCCCGCCGCUCUGCCCUCUGGGCCUCAACUCGCCCCUCUAGAAGAGCAUGUGUGGCAGACCGGAAUGCUGCUCUGAAGAGCAGGCGCUGGUGCGGUCAGAGGGUCCUGCACACCGCCUUGCUGCUGGGUCUGUCGGGUCCGUCCCCUCCUCAGCAUCCCAGCCUUGCCCUGGCGUCUGGAUGGCGGCUGUGGCCCUGAGCACCCCCCAGGGAGGUGGCGAGGGCACCGUUCUCUGGUGAGUAACAGGCGCCGAAGAUUGGGGCACGGCCCUGGCCACAGAUGGCCACAUCCAACCCAAGGCCCUGGGCACACCCUGUUGUCCAUGCCUCUGUUCCUUGCCUUUGCGUCUUGCAGCUCCGUGUGAGUCCUCCUGGGGCAAACGGAGGGCACACUGGAGGCCCGGGGUCCCCUUGGCUGAUGACGAGGUGAGAGCGUGGGAGUCUUUGGGGGCUUAGGGCAGAGCCAAGGGUCAGCACUAGGAAAACGUCCUGCCAGCCCGACAGCUGUGCCAUGGCCAGGUCACUGCUGAGCCUCUUCUGGUGUCUGACAGGGGUGGUAGGCAGCUGGCCCUGGUCUAGGGUCUUCUUGCCACUGACCCCCUCCCACAGCUUUAGGCGGAGAGCACUCAUUCCCUGAGGUGGGAGAGACCAGAGAAGUCCACCAGCCAGAACCUGUCCCUGGAAGGCAGCCUGGGCCUGACAGAGGCCAGAGAGCCAGGCCCCUGGGGCCACUGCAUGUCCCAGCUGAGGCAAGAGGGCUCUGAGGGAGGCCGCCUUGGCACCCUCGGCCACCACUGGCUGCUGUGCUCUGGGCCUGGCCUGGGCCUCCCACUGUCCCGAGCUGGCCUUCCUCGAGGGUGCAGCGCAGGUUCCGAGGUGCCCCUUCUGCUGGGGCAUCCCCCUGGUGGCAGUGGGGAGGGGACAGGAGUGGGGACUCUGGCUGCCCUGUGUCCCAGGGGAAAGCUCAGAAGCGCUGUCUGCAUGCUGACCCCUCCCACACCCCUCCUGAGGGAGCCUCUCCACCCCAGGCUGCCGGCUGCUCCUGCCCCGAUUGCCUAGAAACUCACUGACCUUACUGCUCCUUUAUCUGUGCCAUCUCCCUCACCCACUGGUCUGCGAGGACAGGGACCCUGGUGGUCUUUCCCACAGGUGUUGAGUGACUCAGUGAGGUGAGCGAGUGGAAGGAGGACUGGCCCUGUGGCCGGGGCUGAGCCGUGUUCUUUCCGUCUGUACAGUGAAGACACGCCCCACUUCUUCAGGUUGUCCAGCAGUCUGGGCCCAUCCCCUCCCGUGUGGAGCCUGGGCCCGGGACCAGCCCCCAGAGCGACACCAUGCACAAGCACGUGCAGCUCAGAGCAGACGGGCACUCACUUCCAGGACGGGUGCUCACGAGGACGCGCUGCCUGAGCCAGCUUUGAGCAGUGCUGACUCCAUUCCUGCCUCUGGAGACCCCAGACCGUGUGGCCCGUUGUCAGAUCCCCCUUAUUGCCCUUGUUCUCAGGUCACAAAAUAGGCCUGGGGCAGGGACGGAGGUGGGCCUUCAAACGCCUUGGCUGGUUUCCACACUCACCAAGACGAAGCUCGGGCACUUGUGGCCUCAGCAAAGCCAUCCCCGGUCCCCAUCUGAGCCCAGCCUCCUUCCUCCCAGCGCCUGCUUUGCCAGUUCCCCCCACCAGCCCCGGGGGCUCCACACACCCCAGGAGCCCUUGGCCGGCCAGGGGAAUACCACAGACAGGUGGUGAGCCACCCAGAGCAGAGCUGGGGACUUGGCUACAGAAGAUCUUCCCCCUGUGGAAGCUGCCCACCCUGGUCCCACCAGGGUUUGGGGUUUACAGCUCAGCUUUUUGGAAAAACCUUAAAAACAACCUCCUGUUUAAUGAGCUCUGACUCCGUGUCGGGCGUGUAGCAGACGUGGCGUUUUAUCAAGUCUCGGCCAAGAGACUGCUUCAGUGGCCUCACCACGGAGAUCAGGAAACCAGGACUCGGGUUAAACAGAUCACCUGAGAGCACCCGGAGAGGGAUUUGAGCUCUGAACUUUACAUGCCGUAAGGUUCCUCCUGAUUUCCAGGCCUGAGAGGUGAGUUUGACAAACUCUCAAAGCCACCUAAACCCACUGGAACACCCCGGCUCUUCCAGCUUAGGAUGGAAGCUUUUGCCCCGAGGGUCCCUCUAGAACUGAGGGCAUCCUGAGGUUGUGACCUGCCUGACUUGCCCACUGCAGUUGGGGGAGGGAGGCACCAAGCCCUUCCCAGCACUGGGCCUGCCCCUGACUGCAGACCCAGCAAGAAUGAGUCAUGACCCUGUCCUGGAGGUGUCCAGCCAAGACCUGGGGUGCCCCAGGGGAAGCGUCUUGAAGGAAAAGGCGUCAGCAGGGUGAAGAAGGAGCGAGAAACGGCCCCUGUGGGAGAGGCACCAGGGCCAGGGGGUCAGGAUGUCCCCUUCCCAAGGCCUGGGAGCUCGUGUGAGCUCAGCAGGGAGUGUGGUCUCGGCAGGUGGGGGUGGUCAGGCAGCGGAGAGUGGAAGGGGGUCGCCAUCUCCAGUCUUGCCCAGUCCUGGCCAAGAGCUCCCAACCCCUUGGACUGAGCCCAGGAAGGGACGUGUGUGCCAGCUUUUCUGUGACUUUGGGAAGGGCUGGCGUCCACUGGCAUAGAAAGAGCCCCUGACCAAGCAGCAGGCCCUGUACUUCGCUCCGGCCAGCCGGGCCACCGCUCAGCCUGGGACUGGCCUGGACACUGCGCUGCGCCUCUGCUGACACUUCCUGAGAGCUACUCGCCUGCAGGCCAAGGCUCCGUGACACCUCCCUCUCCCGGGCAUCUCCCUCCCAGGCCUUCCUCGGAUCCCGGGGCCCAGGCAUCCUGGACAGUUCCUGGACUCAGGCCACAGGGUGGACCUGAGUCUCCUGCUCCAGGGACCCAGUCCUCAAAAUUGAACUUUGUGUUGUACAAAGGUGAAUAUAUUAAUAUAUUAAAACCCUUAAAUUUUUUUUGUACUGGGGAGUGAAUCCAUGGGUGCUCUACUCCUGAGCUGCUUCCACAACCCUUUUUAUUUUUUAUUUUGAGACCAAGUCUCCAAUUUACCCAGGCAUCGAACUUGGCAAUCCUGCCUCAGCCUCCAGUUGCUGGGACUGGACGUGCGCCACUGCACCCAGCUGCAAUUCUCCUUUGAACUAAAAGUUUAUUUUUUUAAUUCUGAUUCAAAAAAAGUAAAACAUUGCCAUUGGCCCCCUAAAAGUAGAGGCACCUGAGGCUCCGCACCCCUGCGCUUGGUCAGGGAGACAGCUCUGUCACAGACCUGCAGGGCCUAAGCCAGUCCUCAGUGGGGUGGCCUGUGGUUCCAGCCUUCCUGAGCCUGCCACCACUGCGUCUAGACCCAGGAAUGGAGUCUGGCAAAGGCUCUAGAACAGCCCAAAAAGACCCGAGAUGAGGGCAGGGCGGGGCCCACACGGGGCCUCCUGACCUCCCAGGUUGGCCCGGGCUGUGCCUUCUCACAAGUGCCCUCCGUCUGUUCUCCAGCACAGAGCACACCAAGCACUGUGUGGCCCCAACCAGGGGCUGCAGUUGGAGGGUGCAGAGAAAGGAGAGAGAGCAACCGGUGAAGGAAGACCCUGCAGCUCCUUCAGAAUGGGCACCAGGGCCAGGCCCGGGGAGGCGCCCUCCAGCUGCCAGGGUCUGGGAAGCUUCCCAGAGCAGCUGGGCUCUGCACCAGGGUGGGGGCACUUGUGAAGGAUAGGGGUUUCCUGGCCUCCUCCUGACCAGGCUGCUACAGAUGGCAGGCCAAAUUUCUCUCUCUCCUAAAACCCAUUAAAAUUGCAGAAAGGGACAGGCGCCUUCUCUCCCUCUCCCUCCCUCUCUUCCUUCUUUCCUUCCCUCUUGGUAUAAUCCCACGAGUAGAGCUGGGGUACAGCUCAAUGGUAAAGCACUUGCCUAGCUUGCAAGAGGGCCUUGGGCUCCUCCCCAGAACUGGAAACAACACAAAACCCCUAGAAUGGAAGGAGGGGGGUGGGUGCGCUGAGCAGAACACCCAUUCUUGUUUUUGUACCAGGGACUGAACAGCCAGGGGCUUUACCACUGAACCACAUCCCCUUUUUUACCACAGUCCUUUUUAUUAUUUAUUUUAAGACAAGUCUUGCCAAGUUGCUGAGGCUGGCCUCAAACUUGUAAUCCUCCUGCCUCAGCCUCCUGAGUCACUGGGAUUAUAGGCACGUGCCACCAUGCCAGACCAUCCACACAAUUUUUGAAGCUGGAAAGUAGAGGUAAAGAGGCAACUGACUUAGGGACACCAGAAAGCUAUAUCCCAAGUGUUCAGGGUAGCAACUGAGCCACUAGUGGGCAGCCAGGCCCAUGUGCUCCUGGAAGGACACUUGCUAGAGAAUCUGAUCUUCCCAGGAACACAUCCUGAAAAUACUGACAUGGGAAAUGCCCAGCAAGUGCCUCCACAUCUCACCUCAGGGAUGACAAGUGUCGGAGCAAUUUGACCUUGGUGAUGUGUAUCUGGAACUGAUAAAUAAUGUGAAUGUUAAAAAGACAGAAGGAACCAGCCAUUACUGUAUGAGCCUCAAUUCUCCUAGGAAAUGAAAACAUGUAUCCAUACAUAACCUGUACAAGAAAGUCCACAGCAGCAUCACCCAUAAUAGCCAAAAUGUAGAAACAAUCCACACAUUCAUCAACAGAUGAAAGGGUAAACACAUUGCAGUAUGUCCAUGCAAUGGAAUAUUGUGCAAAGGAGUGAACGUUUUCACACCUUACAAUGUGAAUGAACUUUAGAAACCUCCUGCUCAGUGCCAGGCGUGGUGGCGCACACCUGUGUUCUCAGCGAUUCAAGGCAGGAGGAUCCCAAGUUGUAGACCAGCCUUAGCAGCUUAGCAAGACUAUCUCAAAAUUUAAAAAGACUGGGGAUCUAGUUCAGUGGUAGAGAACUCCCAGGUUUAAUCCUCAGUACCAACAAACAAAACAAAAACAUGCUCAGUGAGAGAAGCCAGAGGCAAAAGGCCAAGUGUUCUAAGAUUCCUUUUAAAGGAAAUGUCCAAAAGAGGCAAAUCCAUAGAGAUGGGAAACAGCAGCGGUUGCCUGGGCUGGGGCAACAUGUAACCCAUGUGAGCGUUACUGGGGACCUUACGUUCUCUUUGGCCAAAUCUGUAGAAUCUGGCCACGUUCUGCCUGUAGAGAACAUUUCUGCAAGACCGGCCACCCUCUGGGGCUGCGUGGCUCCGUGGUUCAAGGUCACCCCACCAGAUGGUACAGCUUCAGACUUUAAAACUGGAAUCUCUGGACAUAAUCUGAAGAGUGUGAAGAUUUUUUAACUUGGUGGAUCUUUGAGUCUUUAAGAACAAAUUGGCUCUAAUCCCAUUUAAGUCCAUUUAAAUAACCACCUUUAAAAUGCCCUAAAUAAAAAAUAGACUUCCCUUUUGACCCAGCAAUUCCUCUUGGGCUGUACACCCCAAAGAUUUGAAAGCAAAGACUCAAGCAGAUGCUCGUGGUGAUAUUUGCAAGGUAUUGUUUACCAUGGCCAAAAGGUGGGCAUGGACACCAUGCACAAGUGGAUAAGCCAGCUGUGUCUGUCCAAAUGGUGGAACAGCAUGCAGCCUGAGGAGGGGGAGAUUCUGCACACACCACACCUGGAUGAACUGGAGACCCCGCUAAGCGAAAUAAGCCAGUCACAAAAGGGCAGAUAGCAUAUGGCUCUACACAGAUGUGACCAAGAGUUAAGUUCACAGAAAGUAGAUGGAGAGAGAAGAUGGAGCUUUGGAGAUGGUGGAAGUGACCAAUGGAACAUGCUUAAUGCCCCCAAGCUGUACAUUCAAAAGUGGCCAACAUGGUGUCCGUGCCAUGUGCGUUUAACCACGAUCUUCUCAUUCAUGUACGUGUUUAUUCCAGCACUGGGGACUGAACCCAGGGGCCCUUUUCCACUGAGCCACAUCCCCAGUCUUUUUCUUUUUUUUAUUUUGAGGCAGGGUCUUGCUCAGUUGCUGAGACUGGCCUGGAACUUGCCAUCCUCCUGUCCCGGCCUCCCCAGUUGCUGGGAUUGCGGGCGUGCGCCAACUUGCCUGGUUUACCACAAUUGGAAAAAAAAAAAAAAAAAGGAAAAAUCUGCUAC